This 205-nucleotide long non-coding RNA is filed under the name Mytilus galloprovincialis (Mediterranean mussel). The record is from RNAcentral. Lineage: Eukaryota; Metazoa; Mollusca; Bivalvia; Mytilida; Mytilidae.
GGAGGAGAAAAAAAAAAUAAAAAAUGAAAAUAACACUGAAUAAAAUUGCAGAAAUUAUGGAUAUCUUAUACAAAUAUUAUCUUCGAUUGCGGAAUAUGUGGUAAUCUUUUUUUUGCUACAAAGCAAUCAUGGGACGUUAUAGUAAACAAAGUACAAACUGAUGAAUGGACUCGUCGUAAACAGAAUGACAAUAACUUUUCUCGUU